RNAcentral lists this long non-coding RNA (483 nucleotides) under Mytilus galloprovincialis (Mediterranean mussel). Lineage: Eukaryota; Metazoa; Mollusca; Bivalvia; Mytilida; Mytilidae. The record is from RNAcentral.
AAGGUGGGAUUUUACAAACAUAUCCAGCCAUGUUUUGGCAAAAAUAAAACAUAAAAAGGUGCCCUUGUCAAUCAUAGCAAAAAACCACAUAACAAUCAUAACAAAUGGUUAAUUGUUAUUUUUCAUAUCCCUUCAUACAGUAACUGAACCAUAUACGGUAGUAAUACUUAGACUGGAUGAUGAUCCAAUCAUAGUGACUUUGUAAAAAAGACGAAGUCCUAAUCCACAAUUGUUUACAUGAUAUUUCAUUCUGUAUUUGUUGAGUGCAAGCUCAUUAACUUUCGAGUACUUGUUGAAGUUUAUCGAAUUGUAAUUUUUAUAAAUGAUCAUGUAUAUCGUAGUAAUAUUGUAGAUUGUGUAAUUACAUCUAACAAAUUGUACCAUAAAGAUGAUAUCAUUGUGUUACACUGCAACUGAUUAUACACUUAUUUUGCCCUAUUGUUGUAGAUCGUGUUAUUAUUGCAAGCAAUUGACAAGUUUUGC